RNAcentral lists this long non-coding RNA (1123 nucleotides) under Homo sapiens (human). Its description in RNAcentral is "long intergenic non-protein coding RNA 928". Lineage: Eukaryota; Metazoa; Chordata; Mammalia; Primates; Hominidae. The record is from RNAcentral.
GGGUGAUUCUUUUGGACUAAUUCAUGUGGCUGCAAUUGGAGCUGGAUGAUCUAAAUGGUCUCACUCCUAGGUCUGGCUGUUGAUGUUGGCUGUUGGCUGAGCCAGGGGCCGCCAGCAGGCUAGCAUGGGCUCUUCACUCAGCAGCAGGGUUCCCCAAGAGGACAAGCCCAACACACAUGUGCUUUUCAAGCCUGUGAUUAUCAGGCUUGAAAUACUGCAACAUCUGCUGCAAUCAGUAACAACCACAUAAGAAAGCAAUGACAAGUUAUGAUUACUGCUCUGGAGGGAGUGAGCAGGAUGCUGUGAGAGAGGGUUACUAUUCCAAGUGGCACCUGGGCCAGCAGCAUUGGCAUCACCUGGGACUUGUGAGAAAUCCAGCAUCUCAGGCUCCACUGCAGGUCUCCUAAAUCAGAAUCUACAGUUUAACAAGAUCCCCAGCAGAUGUGUGUGUAAGGUUUAUAGAGAGAAGAUUCAAGCCUCAACAGGCCAGCUCAAGAACCUGUUGAGAGGAGCACCUAGCAUAAGACCUGGCUUGUGACAGCUGCUCGUGGCAUGCCCUUCUCCACUAAGCCAACUUGUUAAACCUCUUCACGGCUGAGAUCAUGCUGCUUUCUUCUUCAGAUCUGCCACCCUCUAGCUGGGUGACUUUUAGACAAGUGAUCGACCUCUCUGAGCCAGAGUUUCUACCUUGUAAAAAAAAAAAAAUCCCUUCCUGCAUGGUCAGCUGUCAUGAAAAGGACACAUGGUGAUGGGCAGACAAAGACAAGGCUUAGCUUCGUGUUUGACUCCUAGGAGCGCCCAGUUCAUGGAGGCUGCUGCUGUCACUAAUCUGUUUCCAUCUUCCCCUGGGAAUCCUGAGGUUUAUCUGUGAGCCUUUGGACUGCUGUAUGGACAACAUACUCUGCAGUAGCAUGAAGAAGUGAGUGAAGACCCUCCCUUGAACCGUUUGCCCUGAAAGAACAGAAGUCACAUCUUGAUAUCUCAGUGCCUUUACAGUGCCAGGGAUGGGGUAGGUGCUGAGCGCCUGGUAUGUGCUCACCCUAUGCUGUACAACACACAGAAAGCCCCACAGGGUUUGAACUGUAAUUAGGUAGAGGGUGUGUGGGACUCGCCUUGGGUCUCU